Molecule: ribosomal RNA, 536 nt
Filed under: Neohydnus sordidus
Lineage: Eukaryota; Metazoa; Arthropoda; Insecta; Coleoptera; Cleridae
Description: partial 16S ribosomal RNA
Rfam family: Bacterial large subunit ribosomal RNA
Source: RNAcentral
UAACAAAAACAUGUCCUUUUGAUUAUAAUUUAAGGUCUAAUCUGCCCAAUGAUAAAUUAAAUGGCCGCGGUAUUUUGACCGUGCAAAGGUAGCAUAAUAAUUAGUUUCUUAAUUAGAAGCUGGAAUGAAAGAUUGAAUGAGAAAAUAACUGUCUCAAUUUAAUUUAAUUAGAAUUUUAUUUUUAAGUUAAAAAGCUUAAAUAAGAUUAAAAGACGAGAAGACCCUAUAGAGUUUUAUUUUAUAUAAAAAUAUAUUUAUAUUGAUUAUAUUAUUUGUAUUUUUAUAUAAAAUUUUGUUGGGGUGACAAAAAAAUUUAUUUAACUUUUUUUAUAUAUAAACAUAAAUUUAUGAAUUUUUGAUCCAAAAUUUUUGAUUAUAAGAUUAAAUUACCUUAGGGAUAACAGCGUAAUUUUUUUUAAGAGUUCUUAUCGAAAAAAAAGAUUGCGACCUCGAUGUUGGAUUAAAGUUUAAUUUUGGUGUAGAAGCUAAAAAUUUAGGUCUGUUCGACCUUUAAAACUUUACAUGAUCUGAGUUAG